GGUAGAAGUCAGCAGCAGACUGCUUGCUUAACACACAUGAGGUCCUGGGUUCAAUUCCCAGAACUACCA
Molecule: transfer RNA, 69 nt
Filed under: Fukomys damarensis (Damara mole-rat)
Lineage: Eukaryota; Metazoa; Chordata; Mammalia; Rodentia; Bathyergidae
Rfam family: tRNA
About the family: Transfer RNA (tRNA) molecules are approximately 80 nucleotides in length.
Source: Rfam by way of RNAcentral